AUGAAUUGCCUCAGCUGGAACUGCCGCGGGCUUGGGAACCCAGCGGCAGUUCGAGAGCUUCGCAGCAUCGUGAAGCAGGAAGGGCCCGGUCUCCUCUUUCUGAUGGAGACAAAAAUUUCGGCAAAAAGAGUUGAAAUCUUGAAAACCACACUUGGUUUCGCAGGCUGUUUUGCUGUAAACAGCGAGGGAUUGAGUGGAGGAGUUGCGCUAUUUUGGGCAGCCGACAUCAAGGUUGAGCUCAAGAAUUAUAGUUCUGGCCAUAUUGAUGUUAUGGUGCAUACAAAUGACCCGGACUCGAGUCCGUGGUGA
RNAcentral lists this ribosomal RNA (309 nucleotides) under Triticum aestivum (bread wheat). Its description in RNAcentral is "partial small subunit ribosomal RNA". Lineage: Eukaryota; Viridiplantae; Streptophyta; Magnoliopsida; Poales; Poaceae. The record is from RNAcentral.